UUUGUUUUAUGGCUAAAAGAUUGCCACAUGAGCUAGCGUCUGUUUCCCCUCUUCGUCACUUUCAGAGGGUCGAUUUAUCAGUGUUGCUAUAUCCCAAGUUCUCCACGCCCUUGUGUUUUGUUUUUGCUUAAAGUUUGCCACUGAAGCCAGCCUCUCUUGAGCAUCUUGGGCAGUUUCCGAGGGGAGAUUUCUCAGUGUUGCUUUUUCCCAGGACUGCACGCGCUUGUGUUUUGUUUUUGUUUACACAUUGCCUCCUGAGCUAGCCUAUGUAGCCCAUCUUGCUCAGUUUCAGAGCAUAGACUGCUCAGCGUUUCUCUUUCCCAUGGUCCCCACGCCCUUACGUUUUCUUUUUGCUCAAAUAUCGAACCUCAGCUAACCUCUGUUGCUCAUCUUCGUCAUCUUCACAUGGUAGAUUUCUCAGUGUUGUUUUUUCCCCAGGUCUCCACGUCCCUCAGAGUCUGUGUUUGUGUGUGUGUGUGUUGUCUUUGCAAGAUUGGGCCCUGAGCUAACGUGUGUCGCCCAUCUUUGUCAGAUUCAGUUGGUACAAUUUCAGGAUUGCCAUUUCCCAAGGUCUCCACUCCCUUGCGUCAUUUGUUUGUUUGUUUGUUUGUUUUGCUUUACGAUUGUCGCCUUAGCUAGCCUCUGUUGCCCUGCUUCCUCAGUUUAAGAUGGCGGAUUUCUCAGUGUUGCUGUUUCGCCAGAUCUCGACGCCGUUGUGUCUUUUUUUUCAGCCUAAUGGUUGGCACCUGAGCUAGCAUCUGUUGCACAUCUACUUCAGUUUCAGAGGGUAGAUUUAUCAGUGUUGAUUUUUCCGCAGGUCUCCACGUCCCUCACUGUCUGUGUGUGUUUGUUUUCUUUGCAAGACUGGCACCUUUCCUUAGGUGUGUUGCCGAUCUUUGUCAGUUUGAGAGGGAAGAUUAAUCAGUGUUGCUGUUUCCCAGGACUGCACGCCCUUGUGUUUUGUUUUUGCUUACACAUUGCCACCUGAGCUAGCCUAUGUAGCCCAUCUUCUUGAGUUUCAGAGGGUACAUUUCUGAAUGUUGCUGUCUACCCAGGUCUUCACGCCCUAGUGUUUUUUGGGGGGUUUUGUUUUAUUUUUUGCUUAAUGAUUGCCACCUGACCUAUCCUGUCAUGCCCAUCUUUGUCGGUUUUAGAGGGUAGAUUACUCAGUGUCGCUUUUUGCCCAGGUCUCCACAUCUCUCGUGUCUGUGUGUGUGUUUUCUUUUCAAUAUUGGCACCUGAGCUGACGUGUGUUGCCAAUCCUUGUCAGUUUCAGAGGGUAGAUUUCUCCGUGUUGCUCUUUCCCAAGUUCUCCACGCCCUUGUGUGUUCUUUUUGAUCAAAGAUUGAACCUGAGCUAGCCUCUGUUGCCCAUAUUCGUCAGUUUCAGAGGGUAGAUUUCUCAGUGUUGCUCUUUCCCAGGGUCUCCACGCCCUUCUGUGGUAUUUUUUGCUCAAAUAUUGAACGUGAGCUAGCCUCUGUUGCCCAUAUUCGUCAGUUUCAGAGGGUAGAUUUCUCAGUGUUGCUUUUUCCCCAGGUCUCCACGUCCCUCAGUGUCUGUGUUUGUGUGUGUGUGUGUUUUCUUUGCAAUAUUGGCACCUGAGCUGACGUGUGUUGCCAAUCUUUGUCAGUUUCAGACGGUACAUUUUUCAGGGUUGCUGUUUCCCAAGGUCUCCACUCCCUUGCCCUUUUUUUCUUUUUUGCUUAAAUAUUGUCGCCCGAGCUAGCCUUUGUUGCCAUGCUUCCUCAGUUUCAGAUGGUAGAUUUCUCAGUGUUGCUGUUUCGCCAGACCUCCACGCACUUGUGUCUUGUUAUUUUCUGCUUAAAGGUUGCCACCUGAGCUAGCCUCUCUUGCCCAUGUUCGUCAGUUUCGGAAGGUCGAUUUCACAGUGUCACUUUUUCCACAGGUCUGCCGCCCUUGUGUUUUGUUUUUGCUUAAAGUUUGGCACUGAAGCCAGCCUCUCUUGAGCAUCUUGGGCAGUUUCCGAGGGGAGAUUUCUCAGUGUUGCUUUUUCCCUGGUCUCCACGCCCUUGUGUUUUGUUUUUGCUUACACAUUGCCACCUGAACUAGCCUAGGUUGCCCAUCUUAUUCAGUUCAGAGAGUAUAUUUCUCAGUGUUGCUUUCUCCAAAGGUUUCCACGUCCUUGUUUGUUUUAUGGCUAAGACAUUGCCACCUGAGGUAGCCUCUGUUGCCCAACGUUGUCUGUUUCAAAGGUGAAUUUCUCAGUGUUGCUUUUUCCCCAGGUCUCCACGCCCUUGUGUUUUGUUUUUGCUUAACGAUUGCCACCUGAGCUAGCCUCUGUUGCCCAUCUUCCUCAGUUUCAGAGGGUAGAUAUUUCAGGGUUGCUUUUUCCCCAGGUCUCCACGCCUUUGUGUUUUGUUUUUGCUUAACGAUUGCCACCUGAGCUAGCCUCUCUUGCCCAUCUUCCUCAGUUUCAGAGGGUGGAUUUCUCCGUGUUGCUUUUUCCCCAGGUCUCCACGCCCUUGUGUGUUUCUUUUGCUUAAAGAUUGCCACCUGAGGUAGCCUCUGUUGCCCAUCCUCGUCAGUUUCAGAGGGUAGAUUUCUCAGUGUUGCUUUUUCCCCAGGUCUCCACGCCUUUGUGUUUUGUUUUUGCUUAACGAUUGCCACCUGAAGCCAGCCUCUCUUGCCCAUCUUCCUCAGUUUCAGAGGGUAGAUAUUUCAGGGUUGCUUUUUCCCCAGGUCUCCACGCCUUUGUGUUUUGUUUUUGCUUAACGAUUGCCACCUGAGCUAGCCUCUCUUGCCCAUCUUCCUCAGUUUCAGAGGGUGGAUUUCUCAGUGUUGCUUUUUCCCAGGUCUCCACGCCCUUGUGUGUUUCUUUUGCUUAAAGAUUGCCACCUGAGCUAGCCUCUGUUGCCCAUCUUCCUCAGUUUCAGAGGGUAGAUUUUUCAGGGUUGCUUUUUGACCGGGUCUCCUCGCCAUUGUAUUUUUUUAUUUUAUUUUUUUUGCUUAAAGAUUGCCACCUGAGCUAGCCUCUGUUGCCCAUCUUCUUCGGUUUCAGAGGGUAGAUUUCUCAGUGUUGCUUUUUCGCCAGCUCUCCACGCCCUUGCGUCUUUUUUUUUUCUGCUUAAAGGUUGCAACCUGAGCUAGCUUCUUUUGCCCAUGUUCGUCAGUUUCAGAGGGUGGAUUUCUCCGUGUUGCUUUUUCCCCAGGUCUCCACGCCCUUGUGUGUUUCUUUUGCUUAACGAUUGCCACCUGAGGUAGCCUCUGUUGCCCAUCCUCGUCAGUUUCAGAGGGUAGAUUUCUCAGUGUUGCUUUUUCCCCAGGUCUCCACGCCCUUGUGUGUUUCUUUUGCUUAAAGUUUGCCACCUGAAGCCAGCCUCUCUUGCCCAUCUUCCUCAGUUUCAGAGGGUAGAUAUUUCAGGGUUGCUUUUUCCCCAGGUCUCCACGCCUUUGUGUUUUGUUUUUGCUUAACGAUUGCCACCUGAGCUAGCCUCUCUUGCCCAUCUUCCUCAGUUUCAGAGGGUGGAUUUCUCCGUGUUGCUUUUUCCCCAGGUCUCCACGCCCUUGUGUGUUUCUUUUGCUUAACGAUUGCCACCUGAGGUAGCAUCUGUUGCCCAUCCUCAUCAGUUUCAGAAGGUAGAUUUCUCAGUGCUGCUUUUCCCCAGGUCUCCACGCCCUUGUGUGUUUGUUUUGCUUAAAGUUUGCCACCUGAGCCAGCCUCUCUUGCCCAUCUUCCACAGUUUCAGACGGUAGAUAUUUCAGGGUUGCUUUUUCCCCAGGUCUCCACGCCUUUGUGUUUUGUUUUUGCUUAACGAUUGCCACCUGAGCUAGCCUCUGUUGCCCAUCUUCCUCAGUUUCAGAGGGUGGAUUUCUCCGUGUUGCUUUUUCCCCAGGUCUCCACGCCCUUGUGUGUUUCUUUUGCUUAAAGAUUGCCACCUGAGCUAGCCUCUGUUGCCCAUCUUCGUCCGUUUCAGAGGGUGGAUUUCUCAGUGUUGCUUUUUCCCCAGGUCUCCACGCCCUUGUGUGUUUCUUUUGCUUAAAGAUUGUCACCUGAGCUAGGCACUGUUGCCCUGCUUCCUCAGUUUCAGAGGGUACCUUUUUCAGGGUUGCUUUUUGACCGGGUCUCCUCGCCAUUGUAUUUUUUUAUUUAUUUUUUUUUGCUUAAAGAUUGCCACCUGAGCUAGCCUCUGUUGCCCAUCUUCUUCGGUUUCAGAGGGUAGAUUUCUCAGUGUUGCUUUUUCGCCAGCUCUCCACGCCCUUGCGUCGUUUUUUGUUCCUGCUUAAAGGUUGCAACCUGAGCUAGCUUCUUUUGCCCAUGUUCGUCAGUUUCAGAGGGUGGAUUUCUCCGUGUUGCUUUUUCCCCAGGUCUCCACGCCCUUGUGUGUUUCUUUUGCUUUACGAUUGCCACCUGAGGUAGCCUCUGUUGCCCAUCCUCAUCAGUUUCAGAAGGUAGAUUUCUCAGUGCUGCUUUUCCCCCAGGUCUCCACGCCCUUGUGUGUUUCUUUUGCUUCAACUUUGCCACCUGAAGCCAGCCUCUCUUGCCCAUCUUCCUCAGUUUCAGAGGGUAGAUAUUUCAGGGUUGCUUUUUCCCCAGGUCUCCAUGCCUUUGUGUUUUGUUUUUGCUUAACGAUUGCCACCUGAGGUAGCCUCUCUUGCCCAUCUUCCUCAGUUUCAGAGGGUGGAUUUCUCCGUGUUGCUUUUUCCCCAGGUCUCCACGCCCUUGUGUGUUUUUUUUGCUUAAAGAUUGCCACCUGAGCUAGCCUCUGUUGCCCAUCUUCGUCCGUUUCAGAGGGUGGAUUUCUCAGUGUUGCUUUUUCCCCAGCUCUCCACGCCCUUGUGUGUUUCUUUUGCUUAAAGAUUGCCACCUGAGGUAGCCUCUGUUGCCCAUCCUCGUCAGUUUCAGAGGGUAGAUUUCUCAGUGUUGCUUUUUCCCCAGGUCUCCACGCCCUUGUGUGUUUCUUUUGCUUAACGAUUGCCACCUCAGCUAGCCUCUGUUGCCCAUCUUCGUCAGUUUCAGAGGGUGGAUUUCUCAGUGUUGCUUUUUCCCCAGGUCUCCACGCCCUUGUGUGUUUCUUUUGCUUAACGAUUGCCACCUCAGCUAGCCUCUGUUGCUCAUCUUCGUCUGUUUCAGAGGGUGGAUUUCUCAGUGUUGCCUUUUCACCAGCUCCCCACGCCCUUGUGUGUUUCUUUUGCUUAACGAUUGCCACCUCAGCUAGCCUCUGUUGCCCAUCUUCGUCAGUUUCAGAGGGUGGAUUUCCCAGUUGUGCUUUUUCCCCAGGUCUCCACGCGCUUUUGUGUGUGUGUGUGUGUGUGUGUGUGUGUGUUCCUGCUUAAAGAUUGCCACCCGAGCUAGCCACUGUUUCCCAUCUUCGUCCGUUUCAGAGGAUGGAUUUCUCAGUGUUGCCUUUUCGCCAGCUCCCCACGCCCUUGUGUGUUUCUUUUGCUUAAAGAUUGCCACCUGAGCUAGCCUCUGUUGCGCUUCUUUCUCAGUUUCAGAGGGUAGAUUUCUCCGUGUUGCUUUUUCCCCAGGUCUCCACGCACUUCCUUUUAUUUUUCCUUAAAAAUUGCCACCUGAGCUAGCCUCUGUUGCCCAUCUUCGUCGGUUUCAGAGGGUAGAUUUCUCAGUGUUGCUUUUUCCCCAGGUCUCUACGUGCUUGUGUGUGUGUGUGUGUGUGUGUGUGUGUGUGUGUGUGUUUUCUGCUUAAAGAUUGCCACCUGAGCUAGCCCCUGUUGCCCAUCUUCGUCGGUUUCAGAGGGUAGAUUUCUCAGCGUUGCUUUUUCCCCAGGUCUCCACUCACUUCCUUUUAUUUUUUCUUCAUAAUUGCCACCUGAGCUAGCCUCUGUUGCCCAUCUUCGUCGGUUUCAGAGGGUAGAUUUCUCAGCGUUGCUUUUUCCCCAGGUCUCUACGUGCUUGUGUGU
Molecule: long non-coding RNA, 5880 nt
Organism: Equus asinus (donkey)
Lineage: Eukaryota; Metazoa; Chordata; Mammalia; Perissodactyla; Equidae
Source: Ensembl